AUGAACGCUGGCGGCGUGCUUAACACAUGCAAGUCGAACGAUGAACCUCACUUGUGGGGGGAUUAGUGGCGAACGGGUGAGUAACACGUGAGUAACCUGCCCUUGACUCUGGGAUAAGCCUGGGAAACUGGGUCUAAUACCGGAUAUGACUGAUCAUCGCAUGGUGGUUGGUGGAAAGCUUUUGCGGUUUUGGAUGGACUCGCGGCCUAUCAGCUUGUUGGUGGGGUAAUGGCCUACCAAGGCGACGACGGGUAGCCGGCCUGAGAGGGUGACCGGCCACACUGGGACUGAGACACGGCCCAGACUCCUACGGGAGGCAGCAGUGGGGAAUAUUGCACAAUGGGCGCAAGCCUGAUGCAGCGACGCCGCGUGAGGGAUGACGGCCUUCGGGUUGUAAACCUCUUUCAGUAGGGAAGAAGCGUAAGUGACGGUACCUGCAGAAGAAGCGCCGGCUAACUACUU
This 462-nucleotide ribosomal RNA is filed under the name Arthrobacter sp. RNAcentral describes it as "bacterial SSU rRNA". It matches the Rfam family "Bacterial small subunit ribosomal RNA", at positions 29 to 506 of the family's 1533-position model. The record is from RNAcentral. Lineage: Bacteria; Bacillati; Actinomycetota; Actinomycetes; Micrococcales; Micrococcaceae.